CUGGGCGGGCUCUUGCCGGACAGAGGGCUGGGACCUGGGCUAUUCAGGCCAAGGGAGGGGUGGGGAGGUACCGGGCAGGGAGCUGCUGGGGCGAUGCCUGCCGGGCAAGCGGGGAGGGGGUAGGAUCUACUAGGCCGAGAGGCGAGACUGAGCUUGGAGGACCACGGGCGCCUGUCUUCAGGCCAGGGCAGAGACGCGCUUCCCAGGAGGUCUCUCCCUCGAGCUGCAGAAGACAGGUUUUCUCGGCCUCUUGCGGCUGGCUCUGGGGCGUGGGCGGGGUGAGGAGGGGGUCGUGCCCUCGGCACAGAUUGGCGGCCGCAGCAAGUGCAGGGGAACAGGCGCGCCUGCGCGCGCUGGAAGGAAGCAGCCUUGCCGCGGAGGGAGGUCUCCGCCUGGUUGACUGAGAACCUGGGUACUCGAACUUGGAGGACUCGAGGUGGCAUGAUGGCGCUUGGUCUCUCCGGCUUCGGCCUGCUGCUUCAACUCGCGUUCAUCUGAGGCCUUGUUUUUGGUUUCCACGUGCUCUGGCCCGGCCACUGCCUCCACCAUCGUGGAGGCUGGAUUCUGACCCCGAGGUGAGCCGGAAGGACUUCUGGGGGCGGGGCUCUCUCGCUGCCCAGGUAACGGAAGCCGAGUGGCGCUCAAUCUUUCAUUUUUCUUAUUCAAUGUAGAAAGGAGAGCUGAGUUCAAAUUAUAGCCUCCUACGAGGUCUGGCGUUACACUGUGCACAACAGUAACCCCACAUCAUUUGGAAGCCGUUCAUUUAGCGAAUUUUCACCUAACAAGCUGCUGUCCAGGCGCACUGAGGAGUGCGCAAGGCCGAAGGCCCUAGUGUGUAACCCACCGGCGCCUUAUGUCCACCUGGUCGGAAACUGGCGGGUGGCGCCGUGUGUCCAGGACGGUAGGAUGACCUCACGCCUGGAGUUCAAGGGCUGUGGGGACGCCGACGGCACCAUUAGCAGUGGCUGUCACUCUGGGCGCCCGACCCGGGGCUGCCUGCGCGCGGCCGGGGCCGUUGGUCUUCAUGGGGGCCUCCCGGCCGGUGUGCGCACCCAGCCGCAGGGACAGACGCAGAACCGCAGGGAUGGAUGCAGAGCCGCAGGGACCGGCACCGAGCCGCAGGGACGGACGCAGAGCUACAGGGACGGGGGCUGGAGGUUCGCUGCGCGUUGGUGCUGAGACUGGACUCGUCAACUUUCCAUGGGUCAAGCAAUGAACUGAACAGUGCUGAAAUGUAUUAAUAGUGCCUGGUGUUCUUAUUCAUUUCUGCUCUAGUAGUUUUUAGAUGUAGAUGUAAAACAAUUACAUGGUUAAAAUACAUAUAUAUACAUGUGUGUAAUCAUAUUUAUGUCACCUCUGUACACAUGUAAACCACAACAUGGGAGGAUACAAAAGUAAAAGAAGUAACAACCUCCUCUGCCUUUACUCUCCAUCCAGAUCCCCACAGGUAACCAUUGGUAGCACAUUUUUUAAUUUCCUUUUUUCUCAAAAUCCUUCUCUUUUAUAGGCAUAUAUAAUAUGCUCAAAACCAAACACAAAAAGGUUAUUUUCUUUUAUACUAUCUUGCAGCUUUCCCUUUUCACUUAAUGGGUCUUGGACAUUUUUACAUCUUAGCUUUCAUUUUUUCUUCUAAUUAACAUUUGCAUAAUACUCCACUGCCUGUAUCGUACUGGUGUGUUUACUGGGUUUCAUUUUUUAUGCUUGCAGGGAAAUAGCCUGUAGAAACUAGUAGCCAUUAUAGAUUUUACGAUUAUCUCUUUGGUUUGUCUGUGUUUUUAGUUCUCAUUCUCUCCCUAAUCUGUUUCAAGUACCCAUUUAGUUAUAUUAUUUCAGAAUCUUGGUAUCUUAAAAACAAACCCCACUAUUUACUCCGUACUGAAAGGGGAUUUUUUUCCCCUAAGAUUUCCUCGUUGAUGGUGGCUUAUUGCCUACUCUUUAAUAGAAUGUUUAUAUCUAAGUAUAGUUAAGUUGGUGCUUAAUAACUAUUGAUUAGAAUUGAAAUGUAUAAGUCACCAAAGUGCACAUUUCUGAAAUCAAUUAUGAGGAUUUCCAUGAUUAAUCAGCAUUUAGUAGGACUUCGGCGCCCUGUCGGCUCAGUGGUUAAGAGCUCAGUUGCCAACCAAAUGGUUGGCAGUUCAAAUCUACCAGCUGUGGGGCAGUUCUGCUCUGUCUUAAAGGGUCACUAUGAGUUGGAAUCAACUCAAAGGCAACAGAUUUGUUUUUGUUUUUUUAAGUAGGACCUCAAGAUAAAGCUAUUUUAGAGGGACCAAUGUAAAGGGCAGUCCAUUACUGUACAGGGAAUUAUGACUUAGCUCACAGCAUAAGCCUUUCGUAGAAACUCGUUAGAGAAAUAGUUUACUGAAUUGUAUGCAUUUGUGUAUUUAAAUACUUAUAGGUACGAAGAUUGGUGAUUAUAUCAUACAGUAGAAAACUUAAAGAAAAUGCUUUUGACCUAAACAGAAGCUGCAUUUUAGUAUGCCGAAGGGAAGAGGGAGAACAAGCCGGAUCAGAAGACGAAAGCUCUUCAGAAGUUCUGAAUCGAGAGGAGGUAAAGUCUGGUGUUUGACUCUCAUGACCUUUCUAUAUGAGAAACGUGGGCGCAGGUGGUGGGAACGCCUGGGUGACUCUUCCAGGUACAGGAAGGGGACUGAUGAGCAAAACAUCCCUGCAGGUGGGACAGAUGAUUAUUUCAUUGCCAGAGAGUUGCCUGCUCAGCACAGACACGGUGAUUAGAAGCUACUUAGGGGCAUACAUUACCAAGUGGAAGCCACCUCCAUCUCCUCUGCUGGCCCUGUGCACCUUUCUAGUCUUAGAAAAGCAUGCUGGGGACCAGUCUUCCUGGAAGCCUUACCUGGAGACGCUACCCAAGACCUACACCUGCCCUGUUUGUUGGGAACCGGAAGUGGUGAAUCUUCUUCCCAGGCCUUUAAGAGCAAAGGCUCAAGAGCAGAGGACCCGCGUUCAGGAGUUUUUUACAUCCUUCAGAGACUUUUUCUCCUCCCUGCAGCCUCUCUUCUCAGAGGCGGUUGAAAACAUCUUCACCUACAGCGCCCUUCUGUGGGCCUGGUGCACUGUUAACACCAGAGCGGUGUACCUGAGGCACAGGCAGCUCAGAUGCUUCUCUGCAGAGCCGGACACAUGUGCGCUCGCCCCGUACCUGGAUCUGCUGAACCACAGUCCGGACGUCCAGGUAAAAGCAGCGUUUAAUGAGAAAACUCGCUGUUACGAAAUUGUUGCCGUGUCAAGUUGUAGAAAACAUGAGGAGGUAUUCAUCUGCUAUGGCCCCCACGAUAACCACCGUCUGCUCCUGGAAUAUGGGUUUGUUUCCACCCGGAAUCCUCAUGCCUGUGUUUACGUCUCAAGAGAUAUACUCGUUAAAUAUCUCCCAUCAACAGAUAAGCAGAUGAACAAAAAGAUUUCCAUUCUAAAGGACCACGACUUUAUAGAAAAUUUGACGUUUGGAUGGGAUGGUCCAUCGUGGAGGUUACUCACAGCUCUCAAGUUGUUGUGUCUGGAAGCUGGAGAAUUUACAUCCUGGAAAAAAGUACUUCUUGGUGAAAUAAUUUCAGAUACAAAUGAGAAGACAAGUUUGGACGUAACCUGGAAAAUCUGCUGUUAUUUUAUAGAGGAGUCUAAUGCUAUGCUUCAAAAGGUUUCUCGUAUGAAGAAUGAAGAAGUGGCUUUGAUAAACCAACUAACUUUGGUAGAAACUUUGUGGACAGAAGAGCUAAAGAUUCUACAAGCAUCUGCUGCCAUUCUAAGCAGUUUACAAACAACCUUUACCUAACUCUACUGUCUUAGGCUGGAUAAGCAAAGCCAGUUAAUUGUAUGUAUAGAGAGAGAGGAGGUAGCCUCGGGGAGGGAGAGAGAGAAAGUAGAGAGAGAGAGGGAUAUUUAUCUCAAGGAAAUGGCUCACACAGUUGUAGAGCCAGCCAAGUUUGUGGGUCAGGCUUCAGGCUGGAGGCAUCUCCAGACUCACAUAGCCACAGGGGCUGAGGAACCCAAGAUAGGCAGGCAAGACGGCAGGCUGCUAGCUCAUAGGCUGCAGAGGCUGAUGAAUCCCAAGAUCAGCAGGCUGUUUGGCAGGCUGCUGGCCCAGGUCCCAAGAACUGGAGAUCAGAUGAUGAUGAGCCGGAUGCAGGACCCAGAGCAAGCAAGCAAGCUUUGCCAAAACACCCAUAUAUAUAUUGGAUGUAGGCCGCACUCCUGAGGAAACUCCCCUAACAACUGAUUGGCUGAUCACGUCAUGGAGGAUGGCUAUAUCAUUACACAACUGCCAGAUUACAUCAUUACAUAACUGCAAAACCACUGAGAAUCAUGGCCCAGCCAAGCUGACGCACAACUUUAACCGUCACAUUGACCAAAGUACAUGUGAUCACCUCCUAUGGUGGCUGUGACGUCUUAAGUAAUGGAACCGUUUUUAACAACAGUGAGCACCUGCUUCACCAGUCCUGCUUCCACUUGAAGUCUUCUAGAGCUUGAUUGAAACCUCUUGUCAGUUGAUGGCUCCCUCACUGUUCUCUUUGUGGCAGGAGAUGCCAACAUAGUCUGAAGUGUCCACCAGAUCCAAGAAGCUCACUCCUCACCAGCAUCCCUUUCCAACCCAUUGUCCAGUCUAAUCCAUGUCUGAAGAGUUGCCUUCGGGAAUGGUUCCUGUCCUGUGCCAACAGAAGGUCUGGGGGCCAUGACCACCGGGGUCCUUCUGGUCUCAGUCAGACCAUGAAGUCUGGUCUUUUUAUGAGAAUUUGGGGUCUGCAUCCCACUGCUCUCCUGCUCGCUCAGGGGUUCUCUGUUGUGUUCCCUGUGAGGGCAGUCCUCGGUUGUAGCCAGGCACCAUCCAGUUCUGGUCUGAGGAUGAUGUAGUCUCUGGUUUAUGUGGCCCUUUCUGUUUCUUGGGCUCAUAAUUACCUUGUAUCCUUGGUGUUCUUCAUUCCCCUUUGCUCCAGGUAGAUUGAGAUCAAUUGAUGCAUGUUAGAUGGCUGCUUGCUAGCGCUUAAGACCCCAGAUGCCACUCUUCAAAGAGGAAUGCAGAAUGUUUUCUUAAUAGAUUUUAUUAUGCCAGUUGACUUAGAUGUCCCCUGAAACCAUGGUCCCCAGACCCCUGCCCCUGCUACAUUGGCCUUCAAAGCAUUCAGUUUAUUCAGGAAACUUCUCUGCUUUUGGUUUAGUCCAGUUGAGCUGACCUCCCCUGUAUUGUGUGUUGUCUUUGCCUUCACCUAAAGUCUUUCUUAUAUACUAUCUAAUUAGUGAAUACCCCUCUCCCACCCUCCCUCACUCCCCUCUCUUGUAACCACAAAAAAAUGUUUUCUUCUCAGUUUAAACUAUUUCUCAAGUUUUUAUGAUAGUGGUGUUAUACAAUACUUGACCUUUUGCAGCUGACUAAUUGCACUCAGCAUAAUGUCUUCCAGGUUUCUCCAUGUUAUGAAAUAUUUCACAGAUUCCCCACUGUUCUUUAUAAUUUAUCCAUUCAUCGGUUGAUGGGCAUCUUGGUUACUUCCAUCUUUUUGCUGCUGUAAACAGUGCUGCAAUAAACACAGGUGUGCAUGUAUCUGUUGGUGUAAAGGCUCUUAUUUCUCUAGGAUAUAUUCCAAGGAGUGGGAUUGCUGGAUCGUAUGGUAGUUCUAUUUCUAGCUUUGUAAGGAAGCGCCAAAUCGAUUUAUAAAGUGGUUGUACCAUUUGACAUUCCCACCAGCAGUGUAGAAGUGUUCCAAUCUCUCCACAGCCUCUCCAACAUUCAUUAUUUUGUGUUUUUUGGAUUAAAGCCAGCCUUGUUGGAGUGAGAUGAAAUCUCAUUGUAGUUUUGAUCUGUAUUUCUCUAAUGGCUGAUGAUCGUGAACAUUUCCUCAUGUAUCUGUUAGCUACCUGAAUGUCUUCUUUAGUGAAGUGUCUAUUCAUAUCUUUUGCCCAUUUUUUAAUUGGGUUAUUUGUCUUUUUGUAGUUGAGCUUUUGCAGUAUCGUGUAGAUUCAGGAGAUCAGGUGCUGAUCGAAAAUGUCAUAGCGAAAAACUUUUUACCAGUCUGUAGAUAAUCUUUUUACUCUUUCGGUGAAGUCCUUGGAUGAGCAUAGGUGUUUGAUUUUUAGGAGCUCCCAGUUAUCUAGUUUUUCUUCUGGAUUCUUAAUAACGUUUCGUAUACUGUUUAUGCCAUGUAUUAGGACUCCUAACAUCGUCCCUAUUUUUUCUUCCGUGAUCUCUUUUGUUUUAGAUUUUAUAUUUAGGUCUUUGAUCCAUUUUGAGCUCAUUUUUGUACAUGGAAUGAGGUAUGGGUCUUGUUUCAUUUUUUUUCAGAUGGAUAUCCAGUUAUACCAGCACCAUUUAUUAAAAAGACUGUCUUUUCCCCAUUGAACUGUUUUGGGGCCUUUGACAAAUAUCAACUGCUUAUAUGUGGAUGGAUUUAUGUCUGGAUUCUCAAUUCUGUUCCAUUGAUCCAUGUGUCUGUUGUUGUACCACUUACCAGGCUGUUUUGACUACUGUGGUGGAAUAAUAGGUUCUAAAAUCAGGUAAAGUAAGGCCUCGCACUUUUUUCUUCUUUUUCACUAAGGCCUUAUUUUUCCGGGGCCUCUUUCCCUUCCAUAUGAAGUUGGUGAUUUGUUUCUCCAUCUCAUUAAAGAAUGUUGUUGGAAUUUUGAUCGGAAUUGCGUUACAUGUAUAGAUCACUUUUGGUAGAAUAGACAUUUUUAUAAUGUUAAGUCUUCCUAUCCAUGAGCAACGUAUGUUCUUCCGCUUACGUAAGUCUCUUUUGGUUUCUUGCAAAAGUGUAGUGUAGUUUUCUUUGUAUAAGUCUUUUACGUCUCUGGUAAGAUUUAUUCCUAAGUAUUUCAUCUUCUUGGGGGCUACUGUAAAUGGCAUUGAUUUGAUAAUUUCCUCUUCGAUGUUCUUUUUGUUGGUAUAGAGGAAUCCAACUGAUUUUUGUAUGUUUAUCUUGUGUCCCGAUACUCUGCUGAACUCUUGUCUUAGCUUCAGUAGUUUUCUGGAGGAUUCCUUAGGGUUUUCUGUGUAUAAGAUCAUGUCAUGUGCAAAUAGAGAUACUUUGACUUCUUCCUUGCCAAUCUGGAUGCCCUUUAUAUCUUUAUCUAGCCUAAUUGCUCUGGCUAGGACCUCCAACACAAUGUUGAAUAAAAGCGUUCAUAAAGCCCAUCCUUGACUGGUUCCCGAUCUCAAUGGGAAUGCUUUCAGGCUCUCUCGAUUUAGGGUGAUGUUGCCUGUUGGCUUUGUAUAAAUGCCCUUUAUUAUGUUGAGGAAUUUUCUUUCUAUUCGUAUUUUGCUGAGAGUUUUUAUCAUGAAUGGGUGUUGAACUUUGUCGAAUGCCUUUUCUGCAUCAGUUGGUAAAAUCAUGUGAUUCUUUUAUUUAUGUGGUGGAUUACAUUAAUUAUUUUUCUAAUGUUGAACCAUCCCUGCAUACCUGAUAUGAAUCCCACUUGGUCAUGGUGAAUUAUUUUUUGAUGUAUUGUUGAAUUCUUUUGGCUAGAAUUUUGUUGAGGAUUUUUGCAUCUAUGUUCAUGAGAGAUAUAGGUCUAUAAUUUUCUUGUGGUGUCUUUACCUGGUUUUGGUAUCAGGGAUAGGGUGGCUUCAUAGAAUGAGUUUGGUAGAAUUUCAUCAUUUUCUAUGCUCUGAAAUACCUUUAGUAGUAGUGGUGUUAACUCUUCUCUGAAAGUUUGGUAGAACUCUGCAGUGAAGCCAUCCGGACCAGGGCUUUUUUUUGCUGUAAGUUUUUUGAUUACCUUUUCAAUCUCUUCUUUUGUUAUGGGUCUGUUUAGUUGUUCUACCUCUGUUUGUGUUAGUUUAGGUAGGUAGUGUGUUUCUAGGAAUUCAUCCAUUUCUUCUAGGUUUUCAAAUUUGUUAGAGUACAAUUUUUCAUAGUAAUCUGAUAUGAUUCUUUUAAUUUCAGUUGGGUCUG
Loxodonta africana (African savanna elephant) is the source of this 7895-nucleotide RNA transcript. It is a transcript of the gene named SET domain containing 4, with no coding region annotated. Lineage: Eukaryota; Metazoa; Chordata; Mammalia; Proboscidea; Elephantidae. The transcript has 12 exons. The record is from RefSeq and is a predicted model, not a curated record.